GGUCGAUGUAGAAGUCUGACGGAGCACGCCGCGUGAGUGAUGAAGGCUUUCGGGUCGUAAAACUCUGUUGUUAGGGAAGAACAAGUGCUAGUUGAAUAAGCUGGCACCUUGACGGUACCUAACCAGAAAGCCACGGCUACUACGUGCCAGCAGCCGCGGUAAUACGUAGGUGGCAAGCGUUAUCCGGAAUUAUUGCCCAAAAGCCGCAGGUGGUUUCUUAAGUCUGAUGGAAGCCCAGGCUCAACCGUGGAGGG
This 254-nucleotide ribosomal RNA is filed under the name Bacillus pseudomycoides. RNAcentral describes it as "partial 16S ribosomal RNA". It matches the Rfam family "Bacterial small subunit ribosomal RNA", at positions 373 to 622 of the family's 1533-position model. The record is from RNAcentral. Lineage: Bacteria; Bacillati; Bacillota; Bacilli; Caryophanales; Bacillaceae.